UAUUGUUUGUAAUAAUCAUACAUUUAUAAAUCCUAAAUUUAUCACACUAAUCUGCCAAAACAAU
Molecule: transfer RNA, 64 nt
Filed under: Aesalus sp. JL-2019
Lineage: Eukaryota; Metazoa; Arthropoda; Insecta; Coleoptera; Lucanidae
Description: tRNA-Leu
Source: RNAcentral